CUCCCCAGCUAUCCCAUCCUGAAUGUACCCAAUUUUGUCUGAUCUUGGAAGUUAGGAAGGUUGGGCUUGGAUGGGAGAAGGUCACCAGUCAGAUGGGAGU
RNAcentral lists this ribosomal RNA (100 nucleotides) under Peromyscus maniculatus bairdii (prairie deer mouse). The record is from RNAcentral. Lineage: Eukaryota; Metazoa; Chordata; Mammalia; Rodentia; Cricetidae.